CGGGUGAGUAACGCGUGAGGAACCUGCCUCAAAGAGGGGGACAACAGUUGGAAACGACUGCUAAUACCGCAUAAGCCCACGGCUCGGCAUCGAGCAGAGGGAAAAGGAGCAAUCCGCUUUGAGAUGGCCUCGCGUCCGAUUAGCUAGUUGGUGAGGUGACGGCCCACCAAGGCGACGAUCGGUAGCCGGACUGAGAGGUUGAACGGCCACAUUGGGACUGAGACACGGCCCAG
Molecule: ribosomal RNA, 233 nt
Filed under: uncultured bacterium
Lineage: Bacteria
Description: partial 16S ribosomal RNA
Rfam family: Bacterial small subunit ribosomal RNA
Source: RNAcentral